Long non-coding RNA from Aedes aegypti (yellow fever mosquito), 240 nucleotides. RefSeq lists it as uncharacterized. NCBI's taxonomy places the organism in Eukaryota, Metazoa, Arthropoda, Insecta, Diptera, Culicidae. The record is from RefSeq and is a predicted model, not a curated record. The transcript has 2 exons.
CUUAGUUACGAUCACAAGUUAAUUUUACUACUAAACAACUACCUGAACACAUUCAACUCCUUGAGAUGGCAGAGAUUAUUACGGAAGUAAAACGUCGAAGAGCAUCAAAAAACACCGUUUACCACGCUUUAUACGGGUAUUAUUUCCUCGGCCAUUCCGUAGCUGAGCUGUCCAGAUUAUACGGAAAGCACAAAUCCACUGUUCAUAACUGGAUCAACAUUUAUGAACAAAACGGACUCU